Dermochelys coriacea (leatherback sea turtle) is the source of this 711-nucleotide long non-coding RNA. RefSeq lists it as uncharacterized. The transcript has 2 exons. Lineage: Eukaryota; Metazoa; Chordata; Testudines; Dermochelyidae. The record is from RefSeq and is a predicted model, not a curated record.
CGACUUUAUUGUGUUGAGCAGCUGAUAUACAUUCCAAAAGGAUUUACUGAAGAACAGUUGCUUCUGGCUUUAAGAUGAAUCAUAAUUGAUCCCACCAGGAUAACUCAACCAAUCUCUGAGCAAAAUAUAAUUAUGGUACUCUGGAGGAUAAUAGAACUAAUUGGACAAAGACAUCACAAUAGACAGAAGCACUCCAGAAAGCUUGGUUCUGUGGCUAGGUCACUGGAAUGGGCAUCAGGAGAUGUGCAUUCUAUUCUGGUCACUGCUAUGAUCUUGUGCAAGUCACUUCAUUUCUGUGUGUCUCUGUUCUCCCUCUUAUCUGCCUCUGUUUAGAUUCUAAGCUCUUUGGGGCAAAGACUGUCUCUUACCCUGUGUUGUACAGCUCCUGGCACGAUAGAGCCUGAAGCUCAGUUAGAGCAUCUAAGCACUAUUGUUAUAGUACUAUUUGCCCUUCUGCUGCGUGGUAGCAGAUGUCAGGUUUUGUCGUCAGCUUUCUGUUGGAGGAAAAAACCCUGGACAAGGAGUCUGGGUAUACUCUGUACAGUUUGUUUUCUUUACACGUAUAUACAUAAGUCCUGGAACUGAGGUGGCCACAAAUGGCCCACAGGUCUUCUUGAAGGGAUCUCAGCCCAAACACCAAUGUCUGGAUCCCAGGAUGCAACUCUGCCACAGUAAUUGACAGCAAACUCUCCUGCUUGGCACGGAGCCCUU